RNAcentral lists this ribosomal RNA (264 nucleotides) under uncultured bacterium. RNAcentral describes it as "partial 16S ribosomal RNA". It matches the Rfam family "Bacterial small subunit ribosomal RNA", at positions 72 to 339 of the family's 1533-position model. The record is from RNAcentral.
CGCGGACUUCGGUCUGGCGACGAGUGGCGAACGGGUGAGUAAUAUAUCGGAACGUACCUAGUAAUGGGGAACAACCAGCCGAAAGGUUGGCUAAUACCGCAUACGAUCUACGGAUGAAAGCGGGGGAUCGCAAGACCUCGCGCGAUUGGAGCGGCCGAUAUCUGAUUAGGUAGUUGGUGGGGUAAUGGCCUACCAAGCCGACGAUCCAUAGCUGGUUUGAGAGGACGACCAGCCACACUGGAACUGAGACACGGUCCAGACUCC